AUUGAACGCUGGCGGCAUGCCUUACACAUGCAAGUCGAACGGUAACGCGGGGCAACCUGGCGACGAGUGGCGAACGGGUGAGUAACGCAUCGGAACGUGCCCAAUCGUGGGGGAUAACGUAGAGAGAUCUACGCUAAUACCGCAUGAGACCUAAGGAUGAAAGCAGGGGAUCGCAAGACCUUGUGCGAUUGGAGCGGCUGAUGUCAGAUUAGGUAGUUGGUGGGGUAAAGGCCCACCAAGCCGACGAUCUGUAGCUGGUUUGAGAGAACGACCAGCCACACUGGGACUGAGACACGGCCCAGACUCCUACGGGAGGCAGCAGUGGGGAAUUUUGGACAAUGGGCGAAAGCCUGAUCCAGCAAUGCCGCGUGCAGGAAGAAGGCCUUCGGGUUGUGAACUGCUUUUGUACGGAACGAAAUAGCUCUGGUUAAUACCCGGAGUUGAUGACGGUUCCGUAAGAAUAAGCACCGGCUAACUACGUGCCAGCCGCCGCUGUAA
RNAcentral lists this ribosomal RNA (498 nucleotides) under uncultured bacterium. Its description in RNAcentral is "partial 16S ribosomal RNA". It matches the Rfam family "Bacterial small subunit ribosomal RNA", at positions 30 to 523 of the family's 1533-position model. The record is from RNAcentral.